RNAcentral lists this ribosomal RNA (887 nucleotides) under uncultured bacterium. Its description in RNAcentral is "bacterial SSU rRNA". It matches the Rfam family "Bacterial small subunit ribosomal RNA", at positions 1 to 734 of the family's 1533-position model. The record is from RNAcentral.
UCAGNCNGUACUCGUCGAAUANCUCUAGAUUAAGUUUGAUCAUGGCUCAGACCUGAAGCGCUUGCGUGUAGCAGCCUAACACAUGCAAGUCGAACGGCAGCACAGGAGAGCUUGCUCUCUGGGUGGCGAGUGGCGGACGGGUGAGGAAUACAUCGGAAUCUACUCUGUCGUGGGGGAUAACGUAGGGAAACUUACGCUAAUACCGCAUACGACCUACGGGUGAAAGCAGGGGAUCUUCGGACCUUGCGCGAUUGAAUGAGCCGAUGUCGGAUUAGCUAGUUGGCGGGGUAAAGGCCCACCAAGGCGACGAUCCGUAGCUGGUCUGAGAGGAUGAUCAGCCACACUGGAACUGAGACACGGUCCAGACUCCUACGGGAGGCAGCAGUGGGGAAUAUUGGACAAUGGGCGCAAGCCUGAUCCAGCCAUACCGCGUGGGUGAAGAAGGCCUUCGGGUUGUAAAGCCCUUUUGUUGGGAAAGAAAUCCAUCUGGCUAAUACCCGGGUGGGAUGACGGUACCCAAAGAAUAAGCACCGGCUAACUUCGUGCCAGCAGCCGCGGUAAUACGAAGGGUGCAAGCGUUACUCGGAAUUACUUGGGCGUAAGCGUGCGUAGCGUGGUCGUUUAGUCCGUUGUGAAACGCCCUGGGCUCAACUGGGAACUGCCGUGGAUCUGGGGCGACUUAGUGUGGUACAACGGGUACCGGAAUUCCCUGUGUUCCNCGGUGANAUCGUUAAGCAUCCGGAGGGAACUUCCUUGGGAAGNNGUUCUGACACCUGCCCUGGGCCCCUUCUGNCGUCUCGGGUUNCCCUGUGCNCCCCUACUAUUACUGUAGUUGCUGUGGCGCACCUNUAUUCCCGGCGCCGAGGAAGUUUGCCCGGGUUUUUCAU